This 152-nucleotide unclassified non-coding RNA is filed under the name uncultured Leotiomycetes. Its description in RNAcentral is "sequence contains ITS2". The record is from RNAcentral. Lineage: Eukaryota; Fungi; Ascomycota; Leotiomycetes.
CAACCCUCAAGCUCUGCUUGGUAUUGGAUGUCACCCUGCAUUUUGUGGUGCACCUCAAAAUCAGUAGCGGUGCCUCUUGGCCUCAAGUGUAGUAAAUUUUCUCGCUUUGGAGGUUUGGAUGUGUACCUGCUAACAAAAAUAACUUUUCUAAU